UGCAUGGUGUCAUGACAUAAUUAUU
This 25-nucleotide small RNA is filed under the name Bombyx mori (domestic silkworm). RNAcentral describes it as "ovarian small RNA-33581". Lineage: Eukaryota; Metazoa; Arthropoda; Insecta; Lepidoptera; Bombycidae. The record is from RNAcentral.